UGGACUAAGAACUCUCGCCUGCG
RNAcentral lists this small RNA (23 nucleotides) under Mus musculus (house mouse). Its description in RNAcentral is "oocyte_clustered_small_RNA8301". The record is from RNAcentral. Lineage: Eukaryota; Metazoa; Chordata; Mammalia; Rodentia; Muridae.